RNAcentral lists this ribosomal RNA (305 nucleotides) under uncultured bacterium. Its description in RNAcentral is "bacterial SSU rRNA". It matches the Rfam family "Bacterial small subunit ribosomal RNA", at positions 336 to 648 of the family's 1533-position model. The record is from RNAcentral.
UUCCUACGGGGGGCAGCAGUGGGGAAUAUUGCACAAUGGGCGCAAGCCUGAUGCAGCGACGCCGCGUGGGGGAUGAAGGCCUUCGGGUUGUAAACUCCUUUCGCUACCGACGAAGCCCUUUGGGGUGACGGUAGGUGGAGAAGAAGCACCGGCUAACUACGUGCCAGCAGCCGCGGUAAUACGUAGGGUGCGAGCGUUGUCCGGAUUUACUGGGCGUAAAGAGCUCGUAGGUGGUUUGUCGCGUCGUCUGUGAAAUUCCGGGGCUUAACUCCGGGCGUGCAGGCGAUACGGGCAUAACUUGAGUG